CUCCGGGUCACGUGUGUGGCUGGCAGUAGCUCGGGUUUCAGCAGUGCUGUGGUCUGGCUGCCCGGCGGCUCCGGGGCGGACUUGUGCCAUAUCGCUGUGUGUGAUGACCGGGGUGGGCAGCAGGAGAAUCGGGACAACUCUGCGGAUGGGGGCGCACAGGGAUCUCAUAUAUUGGAGGAAUACAGAACUUACUGCAUCCGAUCAAUGACCUUUAUACAUCGGAUUCCCAGCACAAGAUCUACAUCGCCUCCAUGUAUGGGGUGAGGACACCUUCCUGGGCGAUCUGCGACUUGGACUUCACAUUUAGGACGCAGCAAUAUCAGGCUGAUGGGGGCUGAGAGCAAAACUUGGAAGGGAAGUUCCGUCUGGUACUUAGGAGUGUGCCCAUCCAGGGAGGGCACCAAAGUUUAUUGGAGGAAACAGAAAAUCAGUUCAUGAUUACAAUGGUCUCUGGAGAACACAGAAUGUAACACCAGGAUUACUCUACACAUAUGACCUUGAUGGCUGCACUUUGUCGACUAAUUCUACCUUUUGACUUUCGUGAACAGAGUCCAAUGGACGACAUUCAGUACAUUGAUUGUGAGAUAUACAGAAACUGUAUUCCAAUGGAUGGUAACGUGUACAGGUUUGAUAUCUUCCCACUAGCUGCCCAGGAUCACUUUUACAGAAAUGCCAGGAGCUUGCUGCAUAAUACUGCAAAACAAGCUCACAUGAGUUAAGAAUGCUAACUUGAAUAUAAUUUUAUUUUUAAAACCAGAGUUUAGUAUCACUUUAAGGGCUUUAAUUCUGGAACGAUUAAUUUCUACGAUUUCAGUUAGGAACUUUGGGACACUUCAGACAGUACUGCCACCUUCUGCUCUUUGUGGCACUGAACUUACAGUGCUAAAUCUAACAUCGGGCUCCUACCACCAGAACAAGAUAUACUGGGCGUAAUUUACUAAACCUGCUCCCUAUAAAUAAGAGUGAAACAGUCAUUAGUGAUAAACCAAUAAAUUUUCACCGCAGCGCAAACAA
Molecule: long non-coding RNA, 1014 nt
Organism: Rana temporaria (common frog)
Lineage: Eukaryota; Metazoa; Chordata; Amphibia; Anura; Ranidae
Exons: 3
Source: RefSeq, a predicted model, not a curated record